CUGAAUUGUCAACAAGAGUUGUUGCUGGUCCCCAAACAGGGGCAUGUGCACGCUCUGUUCACACAUCCACUCACACCCUGUGCACCCUCUGUAGUUCUAUGGUUGGGGGCCCGUCCUCCUGCUGUCGUUCUGCAUAUUUACACACACACUGUAACAAAGUCUCAUGGAAUGCAUGCCGCGUUUAACGCAAUACAAUA
This 197-nucleotide unclassified non-coding RNA is filed under the name uncultured Tomentella. Its description in RNAcentral is "sequence contains ITS1". Lineage: Eukaryota; Fungi; Basidiomycota; Agaricomycetes; Thelephorales; Thelephoraceae. The record is from RNAcentral.